UACGUAGGGGGCAAGCGUUGUCCGGAUUUAUUGGGCGUAAAGAGCGUGUAGGCGGCUGGGUAGGUCCGUUGUGAAAACUCGAGGCUCAACCUCGAGACGCCGAUGGAAACCCUCCAGCUAGAGUCCGGAAGAGGAGAGUGGAAUUCCUGGUGUAGCGGUGAAAUGCGCAGAUAUCAGGAAGAACACCCGUGGCUAAGGCGGCUCUCUAGUAAGGUACUGACGCUGAGACGCGAAAGCGUGGGGAGCAAACAGG
Molecule: ribosomal RNA, 253 nt
Filed under: uncultured bacterium
Lineage: Bacteria
Description: partial 16S ribosomal RNA
Rfam family: Bacterial small subunit ribosomal RNA
Source: RNAcentral